RNAcentral lists this long non-coding RNA (266 nucleotides) under Mytilus galloprovincialis (Mediterranean mussel). The record is from RNAcentral. Lineage: Eukaryota; Metazoa; Mollusca; Bivalvia; Mytilida; Mytilidae.
GGCAAUCUGGUGGGAUUGGAUCUUAAUAUUGAAGACAAGAGAUUUACUCUGAUAAAUGUUUAUGGGCCAAAUAUUGAUACUCCCUGCUUCUAUGACAAAUUAACAGAAAUUAUAGAUUUCUUUGGAAAUCAGCUCUGUAUUAUCUGUGGGGACUUUAAUCUUGUUCAAAAUUUCAACCUUGAUACCCAUAACUAUAUAAAUAUAAACAAUCCAAGAUCUAGAGAGAAAAUUUAGAAAUUAAAGAAUAUAAGAAUCUUGUCGACCCA